Molecule: non-coding RNA, 86 nt
Organism: Acanthosepion pharaonis
Lineage: Eukaryota; Metazoa; Mollusca; Cephalopoda; Sepiida; Sepiidae
Source: the annotation of a GenBank genome assembly
AUAUCACAUCAGUUCCCAUACGAUCACUGAAGUUAAGCAAUGUCAAGUCUGGUCAGUAUCUAGAUGGGUGACCGUUUGGGAAUACU